Molecule: long non-coding RNA, 279 nt
Filed under: Populus trichocarpa (black cottonwood)
Lineage: Eukaryota; Viridiplantae; Streptophyta; Magnoliopsida; Malpighiales; Salicaceae
Description: long non-coding RNA (PTRI_LNC000421)
Source: RNAcentral
GCAGGCUUGGCAAAUUUACCGGCUGGCUUGCCAGGAAAUGAACUUUUAAGGGCGCCUCAGCACAACCACCAUAAUAACAAUCACUGCCAGUCCCAUGAGAGAUGCUCCUAUGGUCUUUUCGAUGGUAGCUGCUCCAGCAAUUUCAUUGGCAGCAGGAGUGUGCUCUGCAGAUGAAAAGCUAAAAAUCUUUUGGAAGUAAGCAGAUACGUUGGUCACCAAGUCAACCACAGUAAGCUUGACGUUAUUGAUAAUAUCCACGAGUUCAGUUUGAGAGCUUCC